AUUCCAGCUCCAAUAGCGUAUAUUAAAGUUGUUGCAGUUGAAAAGCUCGUAGUUGAAACUUGGGCCUGGCUGGCGGGUCCGCCUCACCGCGUGCACUCGUCCGGCCGGGCCUUCCUUCUGAAGAACCUCAUGCCCUUCACUGGGCGUGCUGGGGAAUCAGGACUUUUACUUUGAGAAAAUUAGAGUGUUCAAAGCAGGCCUUUGCUCGGAUACGUUAGCAUGGAAUAAUAAAAUAGGGCGUGCGUUUCUAUUUUGUUGGUUUCUAGAGACGCCGCAAUGAUUAACAGGAACAGUCGGGGGCAUCAGUAUUCAGUUGUCAGAGGUGAAAUUCUUGGAUUUACUGAAGACUAACUACUGCGAAAGCAUUUGCCAAGGAUGUUUUCAUUA
Molecule: ribosomal RNA, 387 nt
Filed under: Dothideomycetes sp.
Lineage: Eukaryota; Fungi; Ascomycota; Dothideomycetes
Description: partial small subunit ribosomal RNA
Rfam family: Eukaryotic small subunit ribosomal RNA
Source: RNAcentral